GAUGAACGCUGGCGGUGUGCCUAAUACAUGCAAGUCGAGCGAACAGACGAGGAGCUUGCUCCUCUGACGUUAGCGGCGGACGGGUGAGUAACACGUGGAUAACCUACUUAUAAGACUGGGAUAACUUCGGGAAACCGGAGCUAAUACUGGAUAAUAUAUUGUACCGCAUGGUUCAAUAGUGAAAGACGGUUUUGCUGUCACUUAUAGAUGGAUCCGCGCCGCAUUAGCUAGUUGGUAAGGUAACGGCUUACCAAGGCAACGAUGCGUAGCCGACCUGAGAGGGUGAUCGGCCACACUGGAACUGAGACACGGUCCAGACUCCUACGGGAGGCAGCAGUAGGGAAUCUUCCGCAAUGGGCGAAAGCUUGACGGAGCAACGCCGCGUGAGUGAUGAAGGUCUUCGGAUCGUAAAACUCUGUUAUUAGGGAAGAACAAAUGUGUAAGUAACUAUGCACGUCUUGACGGUACCUAAUCAGAAAGCCACGGCUAACUACGUG
Molecule: ribosomal RNA, 497 nt
Filed under: uncultured bacterium
Lineage: Bacteria
Description: partial 16S ribosomal RNA
Rfam family: Bacterial small subunit ribosomal RNA
Source: RNAcentral